Molecule: transfer RNA, 63 nt
Filed under: Phascolosoma esculenta
Lineage: Eukaryota; Metazoa; Annelida; Sipuncula; Phascolosomatiformes; Phascolosomatidae
Description: tRNA-Phe
Source: RNAcentral
GUUUCUAUAGCUUAAACUAAAGCAUAGCUUUGAAGCAGCUAAGAUAAGAACACUUUAGAAACA